GCGGUCCCUCUGUAAACCAUUCUGCAUCCCCCGGCUGGGGAGAGUGCCGGGAGACCGCGUUUAGAGGAUCAGUGGCGGCGGCAACCGCGGCCCGGCGCGGUGCGGGCGGCGGGCAGCGAGGUGCCCGGGUCCCCUGCUGCUCCGCUCUCAGUCUGGGGCACGGCUUUGAAGGAAGGUUGCUAAGCCUGCUAAGUCCUAAUGCACACCAACAUCGUCUCCCUAUUCAUCCGGAAACCUGGCCUCACUUCUCCAGGAGCCUUCCCAGGCCCCCGCCCUGUCCUCACUUUACUACAGAAGGAGUUACCUUCACUUUUGCACCAUGAGUGUGUCUCCACUGUUGAAUUUACACUCUGGCAACUUAUUGGCACUGUGUCUGUCUGCACGACUGCACUGUGAACUAUUCCUCUCUUCCUGGCGACCUG
Long non-coding RNA from Balaenoptera musculus (blue whale), 422 nucleotides. RefSeq lists it as uncharacterized. The transcript has 3 exons. Lineage: Eukaryota; Metazoa; Chordata; Mammalia; Artiodactyla; Balaenopteridae. The record is from RefSeq and is a predicted model, not a curated record.